GACGAACGCUGGCGGCGUGCUAAACACAUGCAAGUCGAACGGAAAGGCCCUGCUUUUGUGGGGUGCUCGAGUGGCGAACGGGUGAGUAACACGUGAGUAACCUGCCCUUGACUUUGGGAUAACUUCAGGAAACUGGGGCUAAUACCGGAUAGGAGCUCCUGCUGCAUGGUGGGGGUUGGAAAGUUUCGGCGGUUGGGGAUGGACUCGCGGCUUAUCAGCUUGUUGGUGGGGUAGUGGCUUACCAAGGCUUUGACGGGUAGCCGGCCUGAGAGGGUGACCGGCCACAUUGGGACUGAGAUACGGCCCAGACUCCUACGGGAGGCAGCAGUGGGGAAUAUUGCACAAUGGGCGGAAGCCUGAUGCAGCAACGCCGCGUGCGGGAUGACGGCCUUCGGGUUGUAAACCGCUUUCGCCUGUGACGAAGCGUGAGUGACGGUAAUGGGUAAAGAAGCACCGGCUAACUACGUG
This 468-nucleotide ribosomal RNA is filed under the name uncultured bacterium. Its description in RNAcentral is "partial 16S ribosomal RNA". It matches the Rfam family "Bacterial small subunit ribosomal RNA", at positions 28 to 507 of the family's 1533-position model. The record is from RNAcentral.